RNAcentral lists this ribosomal RNA (241 nucleotides) under uncultured bacterium. RNAcentral's name for it is "partial 16S ribosomal RNA". It matches the Rfam family "Bacterial small subunit ribosomal RNA", at positions 99 to 334 of the family's 1533-position model. RNAcentral also lists the same sequence under 1 other name. The record is from RNAcentral.
CGGACGGGUGAGUAACACGUGGAUAACCUACCUAUAAGACUGGGAUAACUACGGGAAACCGGAGCUAAUACCGGAUAAUAUAUUGAACCGCAUGGUUCAAUAGUGAAAGACGGUUUUGCUGUCACUUAUAGAUGGAUCCGCGCCGCAUUAGCUAGUUGGUAAGGUAACGGCUUACCAAGGCAACGAUGCGUAGCCGACCUGAGAGGGUGAUCGGCCACACUGGAACUGAGACACGGUCCAG